UAGGGAAUCUUCGGCAAUGGGGGGAACCCUGACCGAGCAACGCCGCGUGAGUGAAGAAGGUUUUCGGAUCGUAAAGCUCCGUUGUUAAGGAAGAACGAGUGUGAGAAUGGAAAGUUCAUGCUGUGACGGUACUUAACCAGAAAGGGACGGCUAACUACGUGCCAGCAGCCGCGGUAAUACGUAGGUCCCGAGCGUUGUCCGGAUUUAUUGGGCGUAAAGCGAGCGCAGGCGGUUAGAAAAGUCUGAAGUGAAAGGCAGUGGCUCAACCAUUGUAGGCUUUGGAAACUGUUUAACUUGAGUGCAGAAGGGGAGAGUGGAGUUCCAUGUGUAGCGGUGAAAUGCGUAGGUAUAUGGAGGAACACCGGUGGCGAAGGCGGCUCUCUGGUCUGUAACUGACGCUGAGGCUCGAAAGCGUGGGGAGCGAACAGG
This 429-nucleotide ribosomal RNA is filed under the name Bacteroidota bacterium. RNAcentral describes it as "Bacteroidetes bacterium partial 16S ribosomal RNA". It matches the Rfam family "Bacterial small subunit ribosomal RNA", at positions 355 to 776 of the family's 1533-position model. The record is from RNAcentral. Lineage: Bacteria; Pseudomonadati; Bacteroidota.